GGACGGGUAGCUCAGUUGGUUAGAGCAACUGGUUUACACCCAGUAGGUCGGGGGUUCGAGUCCCUUCCCGUCCA
RNAcentral lists this transfer RNA (74 nucleotides) under Verrucomicrobiia bacterium DG1235. Its description in RNAcentral is "Verrucomicrobiae bacterium DG1235 tRNA". It matches the Rfam family "tRNA". From Rfam's summary of the family: Transfer RNA (tRNA) molecules are approximately 80 nucleotides in length. The record is from Rfam by way of RNAcentral. RNAcentral also lists the same sequence under 3 other names. Lineage: Bacteria; Pseudomonadati; Verrucomicrobiota; Verrucomicrobiia.